UGAGGAAUAUUGGUCAAUGGGCGGGAGCCUGAACCAGCCAAGUCGCGUGAGGGAAGACGGCCCUACGGGUUGUAAACCUCUUUUGUCAGGGAGCAAGAACAGGCACGUGUGCCUGACUGAGAGUACCUGAAGAAAAAGCAUCGGCUAACUCCGUGCCAGCAGCCGCGGUAAUACGGAGGAUGCGAGCGUUAUCCGGAUUUAUUGGGUUUAAAGGGUGCGUAGGCGGACUGCCAAGUCAGCGGUAAAAUUGCGGGGCUCAACCCCGUCGAGCCGUUGAAACUGGUGGUCUUGAGUGGGCGAGAAGUACGCGGAAUGUGUGGUGUAGCGGUGAAAUGCAUAGAUAUCACGCAGAACUCCGAUUGCGAAGGCAGCGUACCGGCGCCCAACUGACGCUGAAGCACGAAAGCGUGGGUAUCGAACAGGAUUAGAUACCCUGGUAGUCCACGCAGUAAACGAUGAAUGCUAGCUGUCCGGGACGAAUGAGUCCUGGGUGGCACAGCGAAAGCGUUAAGCAUUCCACCUGGGGAGUACGCCGGCAACGGUGAAACUCAAAGGAAUUGACGGGGGCCCGCACAAGCGGAGGAACAUGUGGUUUAAUUCGAUGAUACGCGAGGAACCUUACCCGGGCUCAAACGCACUACGAAUAAUCCUGAAAGGGAUUAGCCAGCAAUGGCGUGGUGCGAGGUGCUGCAUGGUUGUCGUCAGCUCGUGCCGUGAGGUGUCGGCUUAAGUGCCAUAACGAGCGCAACCCCUACCGACAGUUGCUAACUGGUGAAGCAGAGGACUCUGUCGGGACUGCCGGCGCAAGCUGUGAGGAAGGCGGGGAUGACGUCAAAUCAGCACGGCCCUUACGUCCGGGGCGACACACGUGUUACAAUGGCAGGUACAGCGGGAAGCCACCUGGCGACAGGGAGCGGAACCCGAAAACCUGUCUCAGUUCGGAUUGGAGUCUGCAACCCGACUCCAUGAAGCUGGAUUCGCUAGUAAUCGCGCAUCAGCCAUGGCGCGGUGAAUACGUUCCC
Molecule: ribosomal RNA, 1022 nt
Filed under: uncultured bacterium
Lineage: Bacteria
Description: bacterial SSU rRNA
Rfam family: Bacterial small subunit ribosomal RNA
Source: RNAcentral